CUAUGCAGUUGCACCACACCUGAAUGGUUAUCACCGUAGUAUAACACAUCUCCAACUAACUGAUCUGGACCAAUCCCUUCCUCUUCGUGUAUCUUCUCCUUACUCUUGUAGAAACUGAAGUGAGGUACUUUUUCUACUUUCUCUCUUUUACAUAGUUCUUUUGUUUUCUCUGAUUCGUCUCCCAUUACCAGAACGAACUCAACGUCGUUACAUGUUCUACUUAGUUCAACUAAGAAAGGAUAUAUCUCUAUGCUCUCUGAACUGUCUCUGCUCGCGUAUUCUACCACAACCAGUUUAUCUUUUGCUGAUUCUAGUGCUUCGUCGAACUCUUCAAUGCUGUGGACACGCUGAACUCUUUCGUCUGAUUUUUCUUUUCUCUUUGCAUCUGAAGCUGCUGUGGCUUUCGUGAUGAAACGUCGCUGAUUCUCAUGAGAGGAUACUCUCAUGUGAGACGAAUGGUUUUUCGUGUGAAAAUUAGGUAAAGAAGAAGAAAGGGAAUGAAGGGGAAGGAACUUAGGGUGGAUUGAAGGAGCAGGGAUUG
This 541-nucleotide long non-coding RNA is filed under the name Cicer arietinum (chickpea). RNAcentral describes it as "long non-coding RNA (CARI_LNC001332)". The record is from RNAcentral. Lineage: Eukaryota; Viridiplantae; Streptophyta; Magnoliopsida; Fabales; Fabaceae.